This 902-nucleotide ribosomal RNA is filed under the name Akanthomyces sp. RNAcentral describes it as "partial large subunit ribosomal RNA". It matches the Rfam family "Eukaryotic large subunit ribosomal RNA", at positions 49 to 986 of the family's 3401-position model. Lineage: Eukaryota; Fungi; Ascomycota; Sordariomycetes; Hypocreales; Cordycipitaceae. The record is from RNAcentral.
AGGGGGGAGACAACAGGGAUUGCCCCAGUAACGGCGAGUGAAGCGGCAACAGCUCAAAUUUGAAAUCUGGCCCCCAGGGCCCGAGUUGUAAUUUGCAGAGGAUGCUUUUGGCGACGCGCCUUCCGAGUUCCCUGGAACGGGACGCCAUAGAGGGUGAGAGCCCCGUCUGGUCGGACGCCGAGCCUCUGUAAAGCUCCUUCGACGAGUCGAGUAGUUUGGGAAUGCUGCUCUAAAUGGGAGGUAUAUGUCUUCUAAAGCUAAAUACCGGCCAGAGACCGAUAGCGCACAAGUAGAGUGAUCGAAAGAUGAAAAGCACUUUGAAAAGAGGGUUAAAUAGUACGUGAAAUUGUUGAAAGGGAAGCGCUCACGACCAGACUUGAGCCCGGUGAAUCACCCAGCGUUCUCGCUGGUGCACUUCGCCGGGCCCAGGCCAGCAUCGGUUCGCCGCGGGGGAGAAAGGCGUCGGGAACGUGGCUCCCUCGGGAGUGUUAUAGCCCGUCGCACAAUACCCUGGGGCGGACCGAGGUUCGCGCAUCUGCAAGGAUGCUGGCGUAAUGGUCGUCAGCGACCCGUCUUGAAACACGGACCAAGGAGUCGUCUUCGUAUGCGAGUGUUCGGGUGUAAAACCCCUACGCGUAAUGAAAGUGAACGCAGGUGAGAGCUUCGGCGCAUCAUCGACCGAUCCUGAUGUUCUCGGAUGGAUUUGAGUAAGAGCAUACGGGGCCGGACCCGAAAGAAGGUGAACUAUGCCUGUGUAGGGUGAAGCCAGAGGAAACUCUGGUGGAGGCUCGCAGCGGUUCUGACGUGCAAAUCGAUCGUCAAACAUGGGCAUGGGGGCGAAAGACUAAUCGAACCUUCUAGUAGCUGGUUUCCGCCGAAGUUCCCCCCUCAGGGAAGGAAAC